CGGAGGGUGCAAGCGUUAUCCGGAUUCACUGGGUUUAAAGGGUGCGUAGGCGGGCAGGUAAGUCAGUGGUGAAAUCCUGGAGCUUAACUCCAGAACUGCCAUUGAUACUAUCUGUCUUGAAUAUUGUGGAGGUAAGCGGAAUAUGUCAUGUAGCGGUGAAAUGCUUAGAUAUGACAUAGAACACCUAUUGCGAAGGCAGCUUACUACGCAUAUAUUGACGCUGAGGCACGAAAGCGUGGGGAUCAAACAGGAUUAGAUACCCUGGUAGUCCACGCCCUAAACGAUGAUUACUCGACAUUAGCGAUACACAGUUAGUGUCUGAGCGAAAGCAUUAAGUAAUCCACCUGGGAAGUACGACCGCAAGGUUG
This 368-nucleotide ribosomal RNA is filed under the name uncultured organism. Its description in RNAcentral is "bacterial SSU rRNA". It matches the Rfam family "Bacterial small subunit ribosomal RNA", at positions 526 to 896 of the family's 1533-position model. The record is from RNAcentral.